UGUGGGAGCUGGCUUGCCUGCGAUAGCGGUAUAUCAGGCCCUGCAAGGGGGACUGACAAAUAGCUAUCGCAGGCAAGCCAGCUCCCACA
Molecule: unclassified non-coding RNA, 89 nt
Filed under: Pseudomonas cedrina
Lineage: Bacteria; Pseudomonadati; Pseudomonadota; Gammaproteobacteria; Pseudomonadales; Pseudomonadaceae
Source: RNAcentral